CGUCUAUAUACGUAUAGCAUAUCAAUAAGCGGAGGAAAAGAAACUAACAAGGAUUCCCUUAGUAACGGCGAGUGAAGCGGGAAGAGCUCAAAUUUGAAAUCUUCAAGGGUUUCCCUUGACGAAUUGUAGUUUAAAGAAGUGUUUUCUGUUAGAGAGGUGGUAAAAGUUCUUUGGAAUAGGACAUCAUAGAGGGUGAGAAUCCCGUAUUUGGUCCAUUUCUUCUCAGCUGUGUGAUACACUUUCAAAGAGUCGGAUUGUUUGGGAAUGCAGUCCAAAAUGGGUGGUAAAUUUCAUCUAAAGCUAAAUAUUGGCGAGAGACCGAUAGCGAACAAGUACCGUGAGGGAAAGAUGAAAAGAACUUUGAAAAGAGAGUUAAACAGUACGUGAAAUUGUCAAAAGGGAAGCGUUUGACACCAGUGUUGUUUUCUCGAAAAUCAAUUAAAAAUGGCCGGAUUUUGUGUUGUAUUGACUUUAUCAGCUUUCUGCACUUUUUUCCUUAUCUUUUUUAAUGCACUUUUCGUUUAACAAGUCAACAUCAAUUUCUUUUGUUGUAAAAGAGUCAUUGGAAGGUGGCUUUCAUUUCGGAUGAAAGUGUUUAUAGCCUUGUGACUUCUGCAAUCGGAGAGAUUGAGGUCUGCAGCGUAGAUCCUUCGGGGUUAGAUACAGUUUGUGCUAAGUUAUAGUUUUAUCAUAGACAACUUGUUGACUAUGUUAAGUCUUGUAGCUUACUCGCUAUGCGCUAUUUUACCUACGCUUAGGAUGUUGACACACGCGCGUGCUCG
This 782-nucleotide ribosomal RNA is filed under the name uncultured Neocallimastigales. RNAcentral describes it as "partial large subunit ribosomal RNA". It matches the Rfam family "Eukaryotic large subunit ribosomal RNA", at positions 26 to 643 of the family's 3401-position model. Lineage: Eukaryota; Fungi; Neocallimastigomycota; Neocallimastigomycetes; Neocallimastigales. The record is from RNAcentral.